GAGUAAAGAUUUCGGUCGCUUUGGGAGGAGCUCGCUUACUAUCAGCUUGUUGGUAGGGUAAUGGCCUACCAAGGCUAUGACGGUUAGGGGGUGUGAGAGCAUGACCCCCAGCAUUGGCACUGAAACACUGGCCAAACACCUACGGGUGGCUGCAGUCGAGAAUCUUCCACAAUGGGGGAAACCCUGAUGGAGCGAUGCUGCGUGCGGGAUGAAGGCCUUCGGGUUGUAAACCGCUUUUGUAGGGGACGAAAUUUUUGACGGUACCCUUUCGAAUAAGAGGUUGCUAACUCUGUGCCAGCAGCAGCGGUAAUACAGAGACCUCAAGCGUUAUCCGGAUUUACUGGGCGUAAAGCGUCUGUAGGGGGUUUAUUAAGUUCCAAGUAAAAUUUCAAGGCUCAACUUUGAAUUCGCUUGGAAAACUAAUAAACUGGAGUCUAGCAGAGGUGCAUGGAACUUGUGGUGUAGGAGUGAAAUCCGUUGAUAUCACAAGGAACACCAAAGGCGAAGGCAUUGCACUGGGCUAGCACUGACCCUGAGAGACGAAAGCGUGGGGAGCAAAACGGAUUAGAUACCCGUGUAGUCCACGCCCUAAACGAUGAAUGCUAAAUGUUCGGGGAUUCGACCCCCUGGGUGUUACAGCUAACGCGUUAAGCAUUCCGCCUGGGAAGUACGGCCGCAAGGCUAAAACUCAAAGGAAUAGACGGGGAUCCGCACAAGCGGUGGAGCGUCUGGUUUAAUUCGACAGUAAGCGUGGUACCUCACCAGGGUUUGACAUCCCUUGACAGCCUUGGAAACAAGGUUUCCUUCGGGCAAGGUGACAGGUGCUGCAUGGUCGUCGUCAGUUCGUGCCGUGAGGUGUUCCGUUAAGUCGGGAAACGAACGAAACCCCUAUUGCAUGUUACAAUUUCUCACGCAAGACUGCCCGGAUAUACUGGGAGGAAGGUGGGGAUGACGUCAGAUCUGCAUGGUCCUUAUACCCUGGGCGACACAGGCGCUACAAUGGCAGAGACAAAGGGUUGCAAAACCGCAAGGUGAAGCUAAUCCCAAAAACUUUGUCUAAGUUCGGAUUGAAGGCUGCAAUUCGCCUUCAUGAAGCUGGAAUCGCUAGUAAUCGUGAAUCAGCCACGUCACGGUGAAUAUGUUCCCGGAUCUUGUACUCACCGCCCGUCACACCGAGAGAGUUGGUAGCUCCCGAAGCG
This 1199-nucleotide ribosomal RNA is filed under the name uncultured organism. RNAcentral describes it as "bacterial SSU rRNA". It matches the Rfam family "Bacterial small subunit ribosomal RNA", at positions 199 to 1428 of the family's 1533-position model. The record is from RNAcentral.